GCCUUGGUACACAGAAGAAACACA
Molecule: non-coding RNA, 24 nt
Filed under: Arabidopsis thaliana (thale cress)
Lineage: Eukaryota; Viridiplantae; Streptophyta; Magnoliopsida; Brassicales; Brassicaceae
Source: RNAcentral